GCCAAAAAUGAUACACAGAUCAAAAUAUAUGGGCUUCUAAACAUGGCUAAUCAAAACUGAUGCGGCUGAAAAGUUGCUCACCGGAAAAGACACGGAGUUCGCCGGAGAUUAAGGAGGAUGGCGAUGAUGUCGAUGUAGGGUUCGAUGGGGCUGUGGAAGACGUCGAGGCCGAUAUCGUGACGCGGUUUUUGGGGUCGAGGGUGCCUCCGGACGGCGACGGCGGAGCUCCGGGUGCGGCGUCGGCAUGGGGUCGGGGUUUGACGCGGCCAACGGCGACGGUUGUUCGCACAACCUUGUCACAGAGGUAGACACGGGUCAUAGGAGCCUACCGGUGAAAGGAAUUUAGAAAUGGACCUUCGGAGAGAUCUCACCGGCAACAAUGGUGGCGGUGACCGGCGGAGGAAGGCGUCGAUGUAGCCGGCUGUACAUAUGUUUAGAGGCAAAGAUUUCCACAUGGGAAUGGGAGAGGAGAGGCAAAGGCUUAAAUUGACGUGCGUGGAAUCCUUUUAUAUUGGCCGAGGAGGGAGAUCGGGCGUGGAUGUCGACGUGCGGCAUUCGGGGCGCCUCUUUUGGAAACUGCGAUUAUGAGAGAAAAUUUCAAAUUGAUUGCCUAAAUCGAUUCCUGGGAUGGCGAGGAUUGAUGGGGUGCUUUCCUUUCGAAGAGAGACGCGCGGGAAGGAAAGAAAUCGAAGAAAGAAAACAUGGCAGGAGGACUUUCCUUACGUGUAGAGGAGGAAGAAGAGCAUGAGCUCCUGCGGCUGGGGUACUCGGUGGAGAUGGGCCGGCCCAGUUUGGGUCGGUCCAUUCUUUUUUUUUUCCUUUUUUUUCUAUUUUCUGUUUUUAUUAAUAACUUUUGAUUCCUAAUUCCAAAUAAGUCUAGAUAAACUCCAGAAAAUUUGUAAAUUUAAAUCCUUCGAAGUGUGAUCUUUUGGGACUUGAAUCCUUUCAAAAUAAAAUAAGUAAAAAUACUUUUGCUUAUAUAAAAGUCAUUAGGGCUUUAUAAAUAAUAAACAAAAUAGAUUUUCAAUUCUAUUAUGAAACCUUUGUUUCGUAAAUUAGUUUAAACUCCAAUAAAAAUAUUAGGUUGGCAUACUUUGCACUAAAACCCUUCCUUAGCUAAAUACCCCAUUGGGUUGAACUCCAAAUAAUUGAACUCCAAAUAAAAACUCAUAAUAAUUAUAUGGUUCAAUAAAUUCCUAAAUAGAUUUAUAACACCAAAUCACUCACUUUGAAAUCAUAGCAAAUGUUUCCAACUAUAUAUAAUUUGGGAAGUCACGUUAUCCCACUCUUAACGACGGAAUAAAUGUUGGAAUAACAUUUGCACAUGAGGAUGUCACGUUAUCCUCUUCCCGAAUAUUUGAUAGUUUCCUCUUGGAAACAAAAUGAACACAGC
RNAcentral lists this long non-coding RNA (1393 nucleotides) under Brachypodium distachyon (stiff brome). RNAcentral describes it as "long non-coding RNA (BDIS_LNC005623)". Lineage: Eukaryota; Viridiplantae; Streptophyta; Magnoliopsida; Poales; Poaceae. The record is from RNAcentral.